GGCCGGUUAGCUCAGUCAGUUGAGUGUGACGCUAACAACGCUAAGGUUGCGGGUUCAAUUCCUGUUCGGUCC
RNAcentral lists this transfer RNA (72 nucleotides) under Apaloderma vittatum (bar-tailed trogon). It matches the Rfam family "tRNA". Rfam says of the family: Transfer RNA (tRNA) molecules are approximately 80 nucleotides in length. Their secondary structure includes four short double-helical elements and three loops (D, anti-codon, and T loops). Lineage: Eukaryota; Metazoa; Chordata; Aves; Trogoniformes; Trogonidae. The record is from Rfam by way of RNAcentral.